RNAcentral lists this ribosomal RNA (326 nucleotides) under uncultured bacterium. Its description in RNAcentral is "bacterial SSU rRNA". It matches the Rfam family "Bacterial small subunit ribosomal RNA", at positions 28 to 334 of the family's 1533-position model. The record is from RNAcentral.
GAUGAACGCUGGCGGCGUGCCUAACACAUGCAAGUCGAACGAAGCGCUUAAGGGGAACCCCUCCGGGGGCGAACCUUUUGCGACUGAGUGGCGGACGGGUGAGUAACGCGUGGGCAACCUGCCCUGCACAGGGGGACAACAGCUGGAAACGGCUGCUAAUACCGCAUAUGCACACAGCCCCGCAUGGGGGAGUGUGGAAAACGAUAGUGGUGCAGGAUGGGCCCGCGUCUGAUUAGCUGGUUGGCGGGGUAACGGCCCACCAAGGCGACGAUCAGUAGCCGGCCUGAGAGGGUGGACGGCCACAUUGGGACUGAGACACGGCCCAA